RNAcentral lists this ribosomal RNA (503 nucleotides) under uncultured bacterium. RNAcentral's name for it is "bacterial SSU rRNA". It matches the Rfam family "Bacterial small subunit ribosomal RNA", at positions 24 to 518 of the family's 1533-position model. The record is from RNAcentral.
UCAGGAUGAACGCUAGCUACAGGCUAACACAUGCAAGUCGAGGGGCAGCAUUGGGAUAGCUUGCUAUUCAGAUGGCGACCGGCGCACGGGUGAGUAACGCGUAUCCAACCUCCUGCCAGUAGGGAACAGCCCGGCGAAAGUCGGAUUAAUGCCCUAUGUUCUCAAUGCGGACAUCUAAGUUGAAGGAAAGAUUCAUCGCUGGCAGAUGGGGAUGCGUCCGAUUAGCUUGCCGGCGGGGUAACGGCCCACCGGGGCGACGAUCGGUAGGGGUUCUGAGAGGAAGGUCCCCCACACUGGUACUGAGACACGGACCAGACUCCUACGGGAGGCAGCAGUGAGGAAUAUUGGUCAAUGGGCGUAAGCCUGAACCAGCCAAGUAGCGUGCAGGGAAUGACGGCCCUACGGGUUGUAAACUGCUUUUAUGCGGGGAUAAAGUGCGGCACGUGUGCCGCUUUGCAGGUACCGCAUGAAUAAGGACCGGCUAAUUCCGUGCCAGCCGCUGC